AAGUUAUGGUGUGGCCACUUCCUCAACAAAUCUUUGUAUCUCUCUGAAGCUUCAUACAAGCUCUCUUGAUAAUGGUGAGCAAAGGUCAUUAUCUAAUUGUGAAGCUU
This is a non-coding RNA of Jatropha curcas, 107 nucleotides long. The record is from Rfam. NCBI's taxonomy places the organism in Eukaryota, Viridiplantae, Streptophyta, Magnoliopsida, Malpighiales, Euphorbiaceae.